Molecule: ribosomal RNA, 274 nt
Filed under: uncultured bacterium
Lineage: Bacteria
Description: partial 16S ribosomal RNA
Rfam family: Bacterial small subunit ribosomal RNA
Source: RNAcentral
AUACGGAGGGUGCAAGCGUUGUUCGGAAUUACUGGGCGUAAAGCGCGCGUAGGUGGUCUGUUAUGUCAGAUGUGAAAGUCCACGGCUCAACCGUGGAAGUGCAUUUGAAACUGGCAGACUUGAGUACUGGAGGGGGUAGUGGAAUUCCCGGUGUAGAGGUGAAAUUCGUAGAUAUCGGGAGGAAUACCGGUGGCGAAGGCGACUACCUGGCCAGAUACUGACGCUGAGGUGCGAAAGCGUGGGGAGCAAACAGGAUUAGAAACCCCAGUAGUCC